CCUACGGGGGGCUGCAGUGAGGAAUAUUGGUCAAUGGACGCAAGUCUGAACCAGCCAUGCCGCGUGCAGGAUGACGGCUCUAUGAGUUGUAAACUGCUUUUGUACGAGGGUAAACCCCGAUACGUGUAUCGGGUUGAAAGUAUCGUACGAAUAAGGAUCGGCUAACUCCGUGCCAGCAGCCGCGGUAAUACGGAGGAUCCGAGCGUUAUCCGGAUUUAUUGGGUUUAAAGGGUGCGUAGGCGGGUUGAUAAGUUAGAGGUGAAAUGUCGGGGCUCAACCCCGAAACUGCCUCUAAUACUGUUGGACUAGAGAAUAGUUGCGGUAGGCGGAAUGUAUGGUGUAGCGGUGAAAGGCUUAGAGAUCAUACAGAACACCGAUUGCGAAGGCAGCUUACCAAACUAUAUCUGACGUUGAGGCACGAAAGCGUGGGUAGCAAACAGGAUUAGAUACCCGAGUAGUC
RNAcentral lists this ribosomal RNA (460 nucleotides) under uncultured bacterium. Its description in RNAcentral is "partial 16S ribosomal RNA". It matches the Rfam family "Bacterial small subunit ribosomal RNA", at positions 338 to 795 of the family's 1533-position model. The record is from RNAcentral.